GACUGGAGAGGCCAGCAGGCACAGUGACUUAAUCCAAGAAGAUGGAAUAAAAAGGCCUACCUCAUUGGGCUCGUGUGGGUGAGGAGAACUGAAGAGUCUGAGAGCGCGGCACGAGCCAGAGGCUACGGAAAACACUGCCCUCCUACACUCCACCUUGGAGAGACCCAGAAAAGAACAAGCUUCAUUUGUAAAAAAGGAAAACAGCUCAUGGGGGUGGCUUAAAGGCACUCUACAGUGUGCAGAUGCCUUCUACUUCUUCCAUCUGCCCUGUCUUUCCAAGAACCCCUAUGGCCCCAGGCUCAGA
This 304-nucleotide long non-coding RNA is filed under the name Pan troglodytes (chimpanzee). RNAcentral's name for it is "lincRNA". The record is from RNAcentral. Lineage: Eukaryota; Metazoa; Chordata; Mammalia; Primates; Hominidae.